GCCAGGCAUACUGGCUCAUGCCUGUAGUCCUAGGUACUUGGGAGGCUGAGGUGGGAAAAUUGCUUGAGCCUGAGAGGUCAAGGGUGCAGUGAGUCAUGAUCAUGCCACUGCACUCUAGCUUGGGCAACAGAGUAAGACCCCGUCUCAG
Pongo abelii (Sumatran orangutan) is the source of this 148-nucleotide unclassified non-coding RNA. It matches the Rfam family "Metazoan signal recognition particle RNA". Rfam says of the family: The signal recognition particle (SRP) is a universally conserved ribonucleoprotein. It is involved in the co-translational targeting of proteins to membranes. NCBI's taxonomy places the organism in Eukaryota, Metazoa, Chordata, Mammalia, Primates, Hominidae. The record is from Ensembl.